This is a non-coding RNA of Pelobates cultripes (western spadefoot toad), 307 nucleotides long. NCBI's taxonomy places the organism in Eukaryota, Metazoa, Chordata, Amphibia, Anura, Pelobatidae. The record is from the annotation of a GenBank genome assembly.
GGAACUUACUGCUGCUGAUUUAUUAGAUCCACCCCUGGCUUGAUUAUAUGGUGAGACUAUAUGACUCAAAGGCAUUGGUAUCUGUUGGAGACACCUGGAAUAGCCCAAGUGUGAUUUCCUAGGAGUGGAGCAAUAUCAUGGCUGAGACUGCAGAACAUGAGCCAUUAGCUCACCUGUCUUCCCCAUUCCAUGUUUCCCUUCUCUUACUUUCUUCUCCCUCUUCUACCUUUUCUCCCUACAUACACUGAGUAACUCUGCAGUUAUGAAGACUUGGUAGGGUCACUGUAUGGCUAUGACUGACUUUGCG